UGAAAAGUGCAACACCUGCAGCUGACA
RNAcentral lists this non-coding RNA (27 nucleotides) under Homo sapiens (human). The record is from RNAcentral. Lineage: Eukaryota; Metazoa; Chordata; Mammalia; Primates; Hominidae.